RNAcentral lists this ribosomal RNA (25 nucleotides) under Phaseolus acutifolius (tepary bean). Its description in RNAcentral is "partial large subunit ribosomal RNA". Lineage: Eukaryota; Viridiplantae; Streptophyta; Magnoliopsida; Fabales; Fabaceae. The record is from RNAcentral.
GAGACCUUAGGUCAGGCGGGGCUAC